This 249-nucleotide ribosomal RNA is filed under the name Triticum aestivum (bread wheat). RNAcentral's name for it is "partial small subunit ribosomal RNA". The record is from RNAcentral. Lineage: Eukaryota; Viridiplantae; Streptophyta; Magnoliopsida; Poales; Poaceae.
GUGCCCAGCGAGCAUUUUGGCACGACGGAAGACUGGUGGCUGAAGGCGAGGGCGGCAAUCCCGAAACCGUUACGGAGGAAUUUCGACACGAUCGCUAUCCUGAUACACUGGAGGAUAUGGAAGGAGAGAAACGCGAGAAUUUUUGAUAAUGUAGCCAGCACCGUAGACAGGGUGCUGGAGUUAAUUAAGGAAGACAUUAGAAUGUGGCGGGCUGCAGGUUGCAUCUGCGACCUGCCGGCGAACGCCUAA